This 554-nucleotide ribosomal RNA is filed under the name uncultured bacterium. RNAcentral's name for it is "partial 16S ribosomal RNA". It matches the Rfam family "Bacterial small subunit ribosomal RNA", at positions 355 to 902 of the family's 1533-position model. The record is from RNAcentral.
UGGGGAAUUUUGGACAAUGGGCGAAAGCCUGAUCCAGCAAUGCCGCGUGUGUGAAGAAGGCCUUCGGGUUGUAAAGCACUUUUGUCCGGAAAGAAAUCCUUGGCUCUAAUACAGUCGGGGGAUGACGGUACCGGAAGAAUAAGCACCGGCUAACUACGUGCCAGCAGCCGCGGUAAUACGUAGGGUGCAAGCGUUAAUCGGAAUUACUGGGCGUAAAGCGUGCGCAGGCGGUUUGCUAAGACCGAUGUGAAAUCCCCGGGCUCAACCUGGGAACUGCAUUGGUGACUGGCAGGCUAGAGUAUGGCAGAGGGGGGUAGAAUUCCACGUGUAGCAGUGAAAUGCGUAGAGAUGUGGAGGAAUACCGAUGGCGAAGGCAGCCCCCUGGGCCAAUACUGACGCUCAUGCACGAAAGCGUGGGGAGCAAACAGGAUUAGAUACCCUGGUAGUCCACGCCCUAAAACGAUGUCAACUAGUUGUUGGGGAUUCAUUUCCUAGUAACGUAGCUAACGCGUGAAGUUGACCGCCUGGGGAGUACGGUCGCAAGAUUAAAACUU